UCCUACGGGAGGCAGCAGUGGGGAAUUUUGGACAAUGGGGGCAACCCUGAUCCAGCAAUGCCGCGUGAGUGAAGAAGGCCCUCGGGUUGUAAAGCUCUUUUGUCAGGGAAGAAAAGGUUCUGGCUAAUAUCCAGAGCUGCUGACGGUACCUGAAGAAUAAGCACCGGCUAACUACGUGCCAGCAGCCGCGGUAAUACGUAGGGUGCAAGCGUUAAUCGGAAUUACUGGGCGUAAAGCGUGCGCAGGCGGUUUUAUAAGUCUGAUGUGAAAUCCCCGGGCUCAACCUGGGAACUGCAUUGGAGACUGUAAGGCUAGAGUGUGUCAGAGGGGGGUAGAAUUCCACGUGUAGCAGUGAAAUGCGUAGAUAUGUGGAGGAAUACCGAUGGCGAAGGCAGCCCCCUGGGAUAACACUGACGCUCAUGCACGAAAGCGUGGGGAGCAAACAGGAUUAGAUACCCGUGUAGUC
RNAcentral lists this ribosomal RNA (466 nucleotides) under uncultured bacterium. RNAcentral's name for it is "bacterial SSU rRNA". It matches the Rfam family "Bacterial small subunit ribosomal RNA", at positions 337 to 795 of the family's 1533-position model. The record is from RNAcentral.